CCUACGGGUGGCAGCAGUGAGGAAUAUUGGUCAAUGGGCGCGAGCCUGAACCAGCCAAGUCGCGUGAGGGAAGACGGUCCUAUGGAUUGUAAACCUCUUUUGUCGGGGAGCAAAAGACGCCACGCGUGGCGUUCCGAGCGUACCCGAAGAAAAAGCAUCGGCUAACUCCGUGCCAGCAGCCGCGGUAAUCCGGAGGAUGCGAGCGUUAUCCGGAUUUAUUGGGUUUAAAGGGUGCGCAGGCGGAAGAUCAAGUCAGCGGUAAAAUUGAGAGGCUCAACCUCUUCGAGCCGUUGAAACUGGUGUUCUUGAGUGAGUGAGAAGUAGGCGGAAUGCGUGGUGUAGCGGUGAAAUGCAUAGAUAUCACGCAGAACUCCGAUUGCGAAGGCAGCAUACCGGCGCUCAACUGACGCUCAUGCACGAAAGUGUGGGUAUCGAACAGGAUUAGAUACCCGUGUAGUC
RNAcentral lists this ribosomal RNA (459 nucleotides) under uncultured bacterium. RNAcentral describes it as "partial 16S ribosomal RNA". It matches the Rfam family "Bacterial small subunit ribosomal RNA", at positions 338 to 795 of the family's 1533-position model. The record is from RNAcentral.